GUGGCCGUAGCUCAAUGGCAGAGCACCAGACUGUGGCUCUGGGGGUUGGGGGUUCGAAUCCCCUCGGCCACCCCA
Molecule: transfer RNA, 75 nt
Filed under: Pseudomonadota bacterium
Lineage: Bacteria; Pseudomonadati; Pseudomonadota
Also listed under: 1 other name
Description: tRNA-His
Rfam family: tRNA
About the family: Transfer RNA (tRNA) molecules are approximately 80 nucleotides in length. Their secondary structure includes four short double-helical elements and three loops (D, anti-codon, and T loops).
Source: RNAcentral